This 247-nucleotide ribosomal RNA is filed under the name uncultured bacterium. RNAcentral's name for it is "partial 16S ribosomal RNA". It matches the Rfam family "Bacterial small subunit ribosomal RNA", at positions 523 to 769 of the family's 1533-position model. The record is from RNAcentral.
AUACGGAGGGUGCGAGCGUUGUUCGGAAUUAUUGGGCGUAAAGCGCGUGCAGGCGGUCUUUUAAGUCUGAUGUGAAAGCCCCGGGCUCAACCUGGGAAGUGCAUUGGAUACUGGCAGACUUGAAUACGGGAGAGGGCAGUGGAAUUCCUGGUGUAGGAGUGAAAUCCAUAGAUAUCAGGAGGAACACCGGUGGCGAAGGCGGCUGCCUGGACCGAUAUUGACGCUGAGACGCGAAAGCGUGGGUAGC